Molecule: ribosomal RNA, 497 nt
Filed under: uncultured bacterium
Lineage: Bacteria
Description: partial 16S ribosomal RNA
Rfam family: Bacterial small subunit ribosomal RNA
Source: RNAcentral
GAUGAACGCUGGCGGCGUGCCUAAUACAUGCAAGUCGAGCGAACAGACGAGGAGCUUGCUCCUCUGACGUUAGCGGCGGACGGGUGAGUAACACGUGGAUAACCUACCUAUAAGACUGGGAUAACUUCGGGAAACCGGAGCUAAUACCGGAUAAUAUAUUGAACCGCAUGGUUCAAUAGUGAAAGACGGUUUUGCUGUCACUUAUAGAUGGAUCCGCGCCGCAUUAGCUAGUUGGUAAGGUAACGGCUUACCAAGGCGACGAUGCGUAGCCGGCCUGAGAGGGUGAUCGGCCACACUGGAACUGAGACACGGUCCAGACUCCUACGGGAGGCAGCAGUAGGGAAUCUGCCGCAAUGGGCGAAAGCCUGACGGAGCAACGCCGCGUGAGUGAUGAAGGUCUUCGGAUCGUAAAACUCUGUUAUUAGGGAAGAACAAAUGUGUAAGUAACUAUGCACGUCUUGACGGUACCUAAUCAGAAAGCCACGGCUAACUACGUG